Molecule: non-coding RNA, 162 nt
Filed under: Nomascus leucogenys (northern white-cheeked gibbon)
Lineage: Eukaryota; Metazoa; Chordata; Mammalia; Primates; Hylobatidae
Source: RNAcentral
AUGUUAACUUCUGGGUGGGGAGUGGGUGUUGUAGGCAGAAAGAAGCACAUUUAUGUCCACUUCCCUUCAACUUAGCUUCGGGUUGAGAGUCCACCCAUUCCCCCAGCCCCUGUGGGAGAGAUAAGAAAGGAGCCUUGCUUGGGCUGUCCCAGCCUCAACAUG